RNAcentral lists this non-coding RNA (165 nucleotides) under uncultured Bulleidia sp. Its description in RNAcentral is "Lysine riboswitch". It matches the Rfam family "Lysine riboswitch aptamer". From Rfam's summary of the family: Riboswitches are metabolite binding domains within certain messenger RNAs that serve as precision sensors for their corresponding targets. Allosteric rearrangement of mRNA structure is mediated by ligand binding, and this results in modulation of gene expression. The record is from RNAcentral. Lineage: Bacteria; Bacillati; Bacillota; Erysipelotrichia; Erysipelotrichales; Erysipelotrichaceae.
CAAUAGAGGAGCGGCUGACAAGAGUAACCAUGAGGAGAGUGUCAAUUGUAGAUCCAUGGUGAAAGGGAAGGCCGCCGAAGCGGUGGUAUUUGACAGGUAUCACCAGCUGGGAUGCAGCAGAAUAUGCUGCAGACUCUCACUGUUUACAGUGGUGGAGCUAUUGGA